This 393-nucleotide ribosomal RNA is filed under the name uncultured bacterium. RNAcentral's name for it is "partial 16S ribosomal RNA". It matches the Rfam family "Bacterial small subunit ribosomal RNA", at positions 523 to 918 of the family's 1533-position model. The record is from RNAcentral.
AUACGGAGGAUGCGAGCGUUAUCCGGAUUUAUUGGGUUUAAAGGGAGCGUAGGUGGGAUAUUAAGUCAGCUGUGAAAGUUUGGGGCUCGACCUUAAAAUUGCAGUUGAUACUGGUUUCCUUGAGUACGGUACAGGUGGGCGGAAUUCGUGGUGUAGCGGUGGAAUGCUUAGAUAUCACGAAGAACUCCGAUCGCGAAGGCAGCUCACCGGGCCGGAACUGACACUGAUGCUCGAAAGUGCGGGUAUCAAACAGGAUUAGAUACCCUGGUAGUCCGCACAGUAAACGAUGAAUACUCGCUGUUUGCGAUACACUGUAAGCGGCCAAGCGAAAGCGUUAAGUAUUCCACCUGGGGAGUACGCCGGCAACGGUGAAACUCAAAGGAAUUGACGGGG